Molecule: unclassified non-coding RNA, 362 nt
Filed under: Hevea brasiliensis (rubber tree)
Lineage: Eukaryota; Viridiplantae; Streptophyta; Magnoliopsida; Malpighiales; Euphorbiaceae
Source: RNAcentral
GGCAGCCUCAUCCGCCUUCUUUAGAUCAUCUUCACUUGCAGCAAGACCUCUGUUUAGCCCAGAAACAGCACUCAAUAACUUGAGUUUGAGAGACCCAAUAAGCUCCGCUUCAGCUUCUUUACUACCAGGUGGCUCAAUAAAAGUGACUUCAUCAAUACCCGACUGGCAAACUAAACUUCUCUUGCUGUCAUAGCUCCUUUCCUCUAAUAAUCUUUGAGUACUUCUCUUGCUUCUUCCUGGGAGAUGACAUGGGAAAGAUUGGCAAGAAUUUGAUAAAGAAUGAUUGUGAGAAAGGGGAAGUCUCGAAUGAAGUAGAGAAGCCAUGGUUGAGCUUGAAUUUCAGAAAAAAGGAUCGAUCUUUU